This 486-nucleotide ribosomal RNA is filed under the name uncultured bacterium. Its description in RNAcentral is "partial 16S ribosomal RNA". It matches the Rfam family "Bacterial small subunit ribosomal RNA", at positions 30 to 507 of the family's 1533-position model. The record is from RNAcentral.
AUUGAACGCUGGCGGCAUGCCUUACACAUGCAAGUCGAACGGCAGCACGGGUGCUUGCACCUGGUGGCGAGUGGCGAACGGGUGAGUAAUACAUCGGAACAUGUCCUGUAGUUGGGGAUAGCCCGGCGAAAGCCGGAUUAAUACCGCAUACGAUCCACGGAUGAAAGCGGGGGACCUGCGGGCCUCGCGCUAUAGGGUUGGCCGAUGGCUGAUUAGCUAGUUGGUGGGGUAAAGGCCUACCAAGGCGACGAUCAGUAGCGGGUCUGAGAGGACGACCAGCCACCCUGGGACUGAGACACGGCCCAGACUCCUACGGGAGGCAGCAGUGGGGAAUUUUGGACAAUGGGCGAAAGCCUGAUCCAGCAAUGCCGCGUGUGUGAAGAAGGCCUUCGGGUUGUAAAGCACUUUUGUCCGGAAAGAAAUCCUUGACUCUAAUACAGUCGGGGGAUGACGGUACCGGAAGAAUAAGCACCGGCUAACUACGUG